GACCGUCGUGGUGGCGGUGCCCGUCACCGCGUCGCCCGCACCGGCGCCCGCGCCGAGCGCGGACGUCGUGUUCGAGCCGCGGGCGGACG
RNAcentral lists this transfer RNA (89 nucleotides) under Amycolatopsis deserti. Its description in RNAcentral is "tRNA-Ala". The record is from RNAcentral. Lineage: Bacteria; Bacillati; Actinomycetota; Actinomycetes; Pseudonocardiales; Pseudonocardiaceae.